UAUCAUUAUCCUCAUUUUACAGAUGAAGACAAGGGUACUCAGAGAGGCUAAGUAACUUGCCCAAGGUCACACAGAAUUCAGAAUCUACAUCCAGGGCUGAGUCUAUAGCUAGAACUUUUAACCACUCCAUUCUUGGGGGCAUCUUACUGUUGCCAGGACAUUACCAAAAGAAACAUUUGGCAGAUAGGGAAUUAGAUUUUCUUCCCCUACCCCCAAUCCUAUAACUGCGAGAAAAUAAGAACCCUUCCCCUGAACAUCUGUUUUAUCAGCCAGAUUCAAACCACGCUGUUGCCACUUCCUCACUAAACUGUGUACAGUUGGCCUGUCCGCAUCCAAGACCAUGAGUUCAGGGUGGACAUGUACUGUCAGGCUUCAGCAUGAAUCACCUCCUGCCGGCUUCCUGUGGCAGGGUGCACUGCUUAUUCAUGCAGAGGACCCCUCCCUAUUUGCCAGGAGAAUCUAUCCUGAGAUCACCCUUUCAGCUACUGACUCCCCUCUGCAACCUGUCUAAGCAGGAGGCAUCUUCCAGGGAUGACCCUGGGAAUCACGCUUAGCCGAAUUCAGGAUCCUGUUUUCUAGAAACUGACCUUUUAGAAACAGCUUCAGACAUGGAAGGAGCUCAACAAACUGAGUGUAUGGAUACCUAGAGCACUGUAUGGAGGAUGCUGUGGCCAGUUAUGCGCUAGAUGGCAAAUGGACUGCCUGGAUCAGCUAGUAAUGUCUGCUACAAUUGCAGGACAAUGGAAGGAUGCAGACUCUCUUACUUGCUAACCUGGGCCUAGGAUCUCAAGAGACAGCUCAAGACAUAACUUGUUAAACUUCAAUAUACCCAAGGAUCACCAGGAAAUUGUACUAAAACACAGAUUCUGAUCCAGAAGGUCUAGAGAUGUGGCAUAUCUGACAAGUUCUCAGAAGAUGCUGACUUGCUGCUAGACUACCAACCACACUUGGGAGUGAAAGGGGCUCAAAUGUUUCACCAGCCAGAAUCCUUUCCCCAGCUCCCUGAGAACAUCGCCACCACACAGAGCCCCUGCCAGGUGAAAUCCAGCUGGACGGGAUGUCCCGAGACAGUAAAUACGACUGUUUGUUAGUUGCACCACUAAAGGACACGAGGUCUGCUGCUAGGGCAGGCUCCUGCUGAUGAAGCUUCUCCACCCUUCGCCUUAGUGUCCCAUCCCAAACCACACUCUUCCAUUUAACCAGAGGUCCUCCUACCAACGAGUGCAACGGCAACCCCGGUCUAGAGGAAAGAGAGAGCAUGGGAGGGCUGACAAUGUCUCAGGGCAAAGUGGGUCAACAGCAAAAGAGUGAGGGUCAGAAAGAGUCCUUCAGUUCCUACCUGCUCCUAUCUUUCCCAUGUCUAGGACAUUCAGGUAGCCUUCAGAGUGACUUGGUAUAAAAAGGUGGGCAAGGAGUAAGCUUUUAUAGUCUCCCUUGCAGAGAUUAGAAGCAAUUCAGAGGCCUCCAGUCCUUGCAAAUAAGGAGAACAAAGGUAGGGAGGGAAAGAGAGACUAAGGGGACAAAGGGCAUUCUCACACUUACUGUGCUAUCCUGGGCUUACUGCUCUAUGGGCCUGUGUCCUCCAUUAGACAGCGACCACCUUGGAGGAACAACUACAUGUGAGCCAUUCCUGAAUUCCCAGUAUCUAGCAAAAUGUAUGACUUCGAAUAAAGACUCAAUUGAUGUUUGUAGAUAAAGGGGAAAGAGUUUUAAAAUUGGACAUUAUCCUAUUCUGAAGAGCAGGUACUCCUAACAUUUCGGCAGCUGAGCUAACUCUGAGCUCCUGGGGUGGGAGGGAAUGAGACGUUCUUAAUACAUAUCAGACUCACCCAUAGAUCCCCUCUCCCUGGUGAUGUGCAAACAAUAGGGACAGGAGAUCUGGACCAUACAGCUGUGAGCUCCGGGAGGCCUGCCUAGUUUGAGAUUCAAGGUCAUCUAGGGAAAGAACAUAUGUAACUGCUAAUCUAAUAAAGGAUAUUUAGAUCAA
Chlorocebus sabaeus (green monkey) is the source of this 1987-nucleotide non-coding RNA. The record is from RefSeq and is a predicted model, not a curated record. Lineage: Eukaryota; Metazoa; Chordata; Mammalia; Primates; Cercopithecidae.